UACGUAGGCAGCGAGCGUUGUUCGGAGUUACUGGGCGUAAAGCGUGCGUAGGCGGUUUUGUAAGUUUGGUGUGAAAUCUCCCGGCUCAACUGGGAGGGUGCGCCGAAAACUGCAAGGCUGGAGUGUGGGAGAGGUAGGCGGAAUUCCUGAUGUAGCGGUGAAAUGCGUAGAUAUCAGGAGGAACACCUGUGGUGUAGACGGCUUACUGGACCAUGACUGACGCUGAGGCACGAAAGCGUGGGGAGCAAACAGG
RNAcentral lists this ribosomal RNA (253 nucleotides) under uncultured bacterium. RNAcentral describes it as "partial 16S ribosomal RNA". It matches the Rfam family "Bacterial small subunit ribosomal RNA", at positions 524 to 776 of the family's 1533-position model. The record is from RNAcentral.